RNAcentral lists this long non-coding RNA (234 nucleotides) under Physcomitrium patens. RNAcentral describes it as "long non-coding RNA (PPAT_LNC013395)". The record is from RNAcentral. Lineage: Eukaryota; Viridiplantae; Streptophyta; Bryopsida; Funariales; Funariaceae.
AAUUGAGAAGACACACUAUAAUAAGAUAUUUUAAAUACUGUGUAGACCUUGCAAUGUCAACAAAAUUGUACUUCUCCCAAUCGGAUGAUUUGGAGCAAGCAAAACUUGACAAGAACAAUGCAUACAAACAAAAAUUGUUCCAACAACAGCCAUAGCAACAACUUGCCCCUCCUCAUGUCUUUACCUGCCGCCACUAGUAGCCCGCCCUACUCUGCUUUAACCUCCACUAUACCA